Molecule: long non-coding RNA, 1030 nt
Organism: Budorcas taxicolor (takin)
Lineage: Eukaryota; Metazoa; Chordata; Mammalia; Artiodactyla; Bovidae
Exons: 3
Source: RefSeq, a predicted model, not a curated record
GAAAGUGCCUUAAGAGGGGGACCCUCAGCCUGGGGUCACUGUCUGGGGUGGACAGUGCGAGCUCGUGCAGGGGCAGCAGCUAGGCUCCAAGAGCGAGCACUCUCCUUGACCGUCACCCGAGGAAGAACUCUGCUCCAUGGGCCCACAGGCUGAAAUUUCCACUGUUUUCCAUCCUUUGGUUAAUGUGUUGCCCUGAACAAGACAGAACAAGUAGGACACGGAAAAGCCCUCCCCGAGGCCGCCUUCCUGCCCUGUAGGACCGCAGCUGCCGGGAUCCAUUUCCUGCUUGGGAGAGCAGUGCCAAGGACAGGAGUGGGGCCGGCUGCCCACAGGCUGGCCCAAAGGCCACCCAGGGUCAGAAGACAGACAGGCAACCAGCUAUGAGUCACUUGUCAUCUGUAUUUGAGUUAAUCAGACUGGGCAGCCCCCACCUCGCUCAGCCAACUGUGGAGCCUGUCCUCUGGGGCCCUGGCCUGCACAGCUGCCACUCACCGGCUCCAUCCCAUGGACAGGCACAGUUGUCUAUGCUUCACCCACUGAUGAACGCUUCGGUUGCUUCCAUCUCUUGGCAGUUGUGAAUAGUGCUGCUGUGAAUGUGCCAGGCCGCAGGGGUGCAGCCACCAGGUACCUCACUCUGCGGCAUCUGGGUGUCAUGAGUGUCGUCCGGUGACGAGGACCUCACUCCCCAUGUGUCACUGGAAGUGGCCGUUACCAGCCAGGACCAGAGAGACCAUGGACGCAGAAACAUAGCCACCAUGCUCAAGCCAAGAGCGAAUGGUUCUCCUUUAAAAAUAUCCUGUAACAGAGCUUCCCUGGUGGUUCAAUGGUUAAGAGUCCACCUUGCAACACAGAGGACACCGGUUCAGUCCCUGGUCUGGGAAGAUCCCACACGCAGCAGAGCAGCUAAGCCUGCGAGCCGCAGCUGCUGAAGCCUGUGCGCCCUGAGAGCUGGUGCUCUGCAACAGGAGAAGCCACCGCCGAGAGGCCCGUGCAUCACAACUAGAGAAAAGCCCCCACAAAGCAACAAAGA